AUUGAACGCUGGCGGCAUGCCUUACACAUGCAAGUCGAACGGCAGCACGGGGGCAACCCUGGUGGCGAGUGGCGAACGGGUGAGUAACAUAUCGGAACAUACCCUAGAGUGGGGGAUAACGUAGCGAAAGUUACGCUAAUACCGCAUACGAUCUAAGGAUGAAAGUGGGGGAUCUUCGGACCUCAUGCUCAUGGAGUGGCCGAUAUCUGAUUAGCUAGUUGGUGAGGUAAAGGCUCACCAAGGCGACGAUCAGUAGCUGGUUUGAGAGAACGACCAGCCACACUGGAACUGAGACACGGUCCAGACUCCUACGGGAGGCAGCAGUGGGGAAUAUUGCGCAAUGGGCGAAAGCCUGACGCAGCGACGCCGCGU
This 372-nucleotide ribosomal RNA is filed under the name uncultured bacterium. RNAcentral describes it as "bacterial SSU rRNA". It matches the Rfam family "Bacterial small subunit ribosomal RNA", at positions 30 to 402 of the family's 1533-position model. The record is from RNAcentral.